AAAAAAAUAUGUGCCCAUUUUUAACUGCCUCCUACACCAACUCAGAAGCUAGGAUAUGCAUAUUAUUAACACAUUCGGAUAGAAAACACUCUGAAUUUUCUUAAACAGUUUGAAUGGUGUCUUGUUCUGUGUUCUGUGUCAGAAGAAGAGGGGGGACAAGAGAAAAAGUAAAACAACGGAUCACCAGUCUUCCUCUCUUCCUCUUGUCGUCUCGGAAUCUUAAUUUGCUCGGCAUUGUGGGAGUAAACGAACUGCGAACGGAAAUAGCAAUGGAUGGUGUUGUAGUGUUUUAUUCAGAUUUUUUUUUUUUAUAAUUAAUGAAUUAAAAAAACAAAGGUUGGCUUUUUAAAUCUACAUAAUAUCAAACCGUGGUGUGUUUAUUUAUUUGUUUGUAUUUUUAAAGUAAGGCAUAUUUCAGUUAUGUGAUGUGUUUCUCAUAAGCCUAAUUACUGAAAUGUGAAUUAUCUUCAGUCCUUUGCAAUUUAGUAAAUCAACUGUCCAGGGAGCCCAUUUGAAGCAGGGAAAUAGACUAUAUUAUUACUAAAGCAGAACAACCCUCAUUUUAAAAGACAACACCACCAACAUCACCACACACACACACACCACAAACACACACACCACAAGCACACACACACACACACACACACACACACACACACACACACAC
This 667-nucleotide long non-coding RNA is filed under the name Salmo salar (Atlantic salmon). Its description in RNAcentral is "lncRNA (ENSSSAG00000096944.1)". The record is from RNAcentral. Lineage: Eukaryota; Metazoa; Chordata; Actinopteri; Salmoniformes; Salmonidae.